AUCUUAAGAUUUUAAUGACUAGUUCAAAAUUAGAAAAACUUUUACCAAGAGCUUUGAGUCCAUUGAUGACAUCCGUGAAACGGGUGUACAUGUCUCCGAUGGACUCACUUGGUUUCAUCCGGAAAAGUUCGUAAGAAUGCACAAGAAUAUUGAUUUUGGACUCUUUCACUCGGCUAGUGCCUUCAUGAGUGACCUCUAGAGUUCUCCAAAUAUCAAAAGCCGAGUCACACAUAGAAACGCGAUUAAAUUCAUUUUUGUCAAGUGCACAAUAUAAGGCAUUCAUAGCCUUUGCAUUUAGAGAAA
RNAcentral lists this long non-coding RNA (303 nucleotides) under Musa acuminata (dwarf banana). RNAcentral's name for it is "long non-coding RNA (MACU_LNC007183)". Lineage: Eukaryota; Viridiplantae; Streptophyta; Magnoliopsida; Zingiberales; Musaceae. The record is from RNAcentral.